GACGAACGCUGGCGGCGUGCUUAACACAUGCAAGUCGAACGAUGAAGCUAGAGCUUGCUCUGGUGAAUUAGUGGCGAACGGGUGAGUAACACGUGAGUAACCUGCCCCGAACUCUGGGAUAACUGCUGGAAACGGUAGCUAAUACUGGAUACGACCUACGAAGGCAUCUUCUGUAGGUGGAAAGAAUUUCGGUUCGGGAUGGACUCGCGGCCUAUCAGCUUGUUGGUGAGGUAAUGGCUCACCAAGGCGACGACGGGUAGCCGGCCUGAGAGGUGACCGGCCACACUGGGACUGAGACACGGCCCAGACUCCUACGGGAGGCAGCAGUGGGGAAUAUUGCACAAAUGGGCGCAAGCCUGAUGCAGCAACGCCGCGUGAGGGAUGACGGCC
This 390-nucleotide ribosomal RNA is filed under the name uncultured bacterium. RNAcentral describes it as "bacterial SSU rRNA". It matches the Rfam family "Bacterial small subunit ribosomal RNA", at positions 28 to 416 of the family's 1533-position model. The record is from RNAcentral.